RNAcentral lists this ribosomal RNA (194 nucleotides) under Klebsiella pneumoniae. RNAcentral's name for it is "partial 16S ribosomal RNA". It matches the Rfam family "Bacterial small subunit ribosomal RNA", at positions 1 to 187 of the family's 1533-position model. Lineage: Bacteria; Pseudomonadati; Pseudomonadota; Gammaproteobacteria; Enterobacterales; Enterobacteriaceae. The record is from RNAcentral.
ACUUAAAUUGAAGAGUUUGAUCAUGGCUCAGAUUGAACGCUGGCGGCAGGCCUAACACAUGCAAGUCGAGCGGUAGCACAGAGAGCUUGCUCUCGGGUGACGAGCGGCGGACGGGUGAGUAAUGUCUGGGAAACUGCCUGAUGGAGGGGAUAACUACUGGAAACGGUAGCUAAUACCGCAUAACGUCGCAAGAC